RNAcentral lists this long non-coding RNA (504 nucleotides) under Oryza brachyantha (malo sina). RNAcentral's name for it is "long non-coding RNA (OBRA_LNC003066)". Lineage: Eukaryota; Viridiplantae; Streptophyta; Magnoliopsida; Poales; Poaceae. The record is from RNAcentral.
GGCUGCAUUGCCGAUCGAAAUCGGAAGCUUCCUCUUGCGAUUCUCGCCUCCUCCUCCUCGAAAUUCCUACGGAUUUGGAUUGAACAACGCCAAAAAAAAAUACUGGAUCUCGCGGCGGGGGGGCCUCUCGCCUCGGCCGAUUCUCGGAUGAACACGACACGAUCUGUGGCUACCAAGAAGCUUUAGGUGAGGUUUAUGGCGGCCAAAGGGAAGGAGGAAAUGCAAAGCAAUGGGAUUGAUUGCUUGCUUGCUUGCUCGCUCCCCCCUUUUCUCCCCCUUCUGGGGCGGUGGAUUCUUGCAGGGAUUCCAGGUGGUGGUCACAUGCAAAGAUCAGAUUUUUUCCUCCAUGUGAGGCUGGAUUGGGAUCAAAAGAACCGGCUUUGAUGAUUAAUUCGAUUGGGGUUUGCGAAUGGGAAUGGAGCUUUGGAUUAUUAGGGCAUGUGGGGGAGCAUGCCGACGAUGGUUAUCUUCUCCUUUCUUGAGAGAGAGAGAGAAGAGAGAGAG